RNAcentral lists this ribosomal RNA (497 nucleotides) under uncultured bacterium. RNAcentral describes it as "partial 16S ribosomal RNA". It matches the Rfam family "Bacterial small subunit ribosomal RNA", at positions 28 to 507 of the family's 1533-position model. The record is from RNAcentral.
GAUGAACGCUGGCGGCGUGCCUAAUACAUGCAAGUCGAGCGAACGGACGAGAAGCUUGCUUUGCUGAUGUUAGAGGCGGACGGGUGAGGAACACGUGGAUAACCUAUCUAUAAGACUGGGAUAACUUCGGGAAACCGGAGCUAAUACCGGAUAAUAUUUUGAACCGCAGGGUUCAAAAGUGAAAGACGGUCUUGCUGUCACUUGUAGAUGGAUCCGCGCUGCAUUAGCUAGUUGGUAAGGUAACGGCUUACCAAGGCAACGAUGCAUAGCCGACCUGAGAGGGUGAUCGGCCACACUGGCACUGAGACUCGGUCCCGACUCCUACGGGAGGCAGCAGUAGGGAAUCUUCCGCAAUGGGCGAAAGCCUGACGGUGCAGCGCCGCGUGAGUGAUGAAGGUCUUCGGAUCGUAAAACUCUGUUAUUAGCGAAGAACAUAUGUGUAAGUAACUGUGCACAUCUUGACGGUACCUAAUCAGAAAGCCCCGGCUAACUACGUG